CCUACGGGUGGCUGCAGUGGGGAAUUUUCCACAAUGGGCGAAAGCCUGAUGGAGCAACGCCGCGUGUGUGAUGAAGGUCUUCGGAUCGUAAAGCACUUUCGACUGGGACGAAACACCCUUGGCUAACACUCAAGGGCUUGACGGUACCAGGAGAAGAAGCACCGGCUAACUCUGUGCCAGCAGCCGCGGUAAUACAGAGGGUGCAAGCGUGGUCCGGAAUUAUGGGGCGGAGAGAUGGCAAGGGCGGCGUGAAAGCCCUCAGCUUAACUGAGGAAGUGCGCCCGAAACUGCUGUGCUUGAGUGCCGGAGAGGAUGGCGGAAUUCCCCAAGUAGAGGUGAAAUUCGUAGAUAUGGGGAGGAACACCGGUGGCGUAGGCGGCCAUCUGGACGGUAACUGACGCUGAGACGCGAAAGCGUGGGUAGCAAACAGGAUUAGAUACCCGAGUAGUC
This 450-nucleotide ribosomal RNA is filed under the name uncultured bacterium. Its description in RNAcentral is "partial 16S ribosomal RNA". It matches the Rfam family "Bacterial small subunit ribosomal RNA", at positions 338 to 795 of the family's 1533-position model. The record is from RNAcentral.